UGGGGAAUAUUGGGCAAUGGGCGCAAGCCUGACCCAGCAACGCCGCGUGAAGGAAGAAGGCUUUCGGGUUGUAAACUUCUUUUCUUGGGGACGAAGAAAGUGACGGUACCCAAGGAAUAAGCCACGGCUAACUACGUGCCAGCAGCCGCGGUAAUACGUAGGUGGCAAGCGUUAUCCGGAUUUAUUGGGUGUAAAGGGCGUGUAGGCGGGAAUGCAAGUCAGAUGUGAAACUAUGGGCUCAACCCAUAGCCUGCAUUUGAAACUGUAUUUCUUGAGUGCUGGAGAGGCAAUCGGAAUUCCGUGUGUAGCGGUGAAAUGCGUAGAUAUACGGAGGAACACCAGUGGCGAAGGCGGAUUGCUGGACAGUAACUGACGCUGAGGCGCAAAAGCGUGGGGAGCAAACAGGAUUAGAUACCC
This 417-nucleotide ribosomal RNA is filed under the name uncultured bacterium. RNAcentral's name for it is "bacterial SSU rRNA". It matches the Rfam family "Bacterial small subunit ribosomal RNA", at positions 355 to 787 of the family's 1533-position model. The record is from RNAcentral.